GCAGUCGUGGCCGAGCGGUUAAGGCGUCGGACUAGAAAUCAGAUUUCUUCUGGGAGCGUAGGUUCGAGUCCUACCAACUGCG
This 82-nucleotide transfer RNA is filed under the name Stomoxys calcitrans (stable fly). RNAcentral describes it as "transfer RNA serine (anticodon AGA)". It matches the Rfam family "tRNA". From Rfam's summary of the family: Transfer RNA (tRNA) molecules are approximately 80 nucleotides in length. Their secondary structure includes four short double-helical elements and three loops (D, anti-codon, and T loops). The record is from RNAcentral. Lineage: Eukaryota; Metazoa; Arthropoda; Insecta; Diptera; Muscidae.